This is a long non-coding RNA of Lagopus muta (rock ptarmigan), 1131 nucleotides long. RefSeq lists it as uncharacterized. The transcript is spliced from 3 exons. The record is from RefSeq and is a predicted model, not a curated record. NCBI's taxonomy places the organism in Eukaryota, Metazoa, Chordata, Aves, Galliformes, Phasianidae.
UCCAGCGGCGUCGGCACCGCCGGAGGCGCGGCGGGAGGCGGGCCCACCGUCCCGGCCCGUGCCGGUCCACAUCUGCUGAGAGGGGGAGGGAAAAAGCACAGCAGAGAGGGCCGCACCGGCUUUGGGAAGUCCGCGGGGAGGUGCGCGCGUGGGACUGCCGUGCGUCCGCCGUGCUCGCGGAAAGCGGCUGUCGGGGGCGGGCGUGUGGGAGAUCUCUGUGACUGAAGGAGAUGCUGAGAUGGAGCAUCUGAUCAUAUUGCAAAGCCACUGGAAACUCAGCAGGAAAACAUUCAGUGGAGAAACUGAAGUAUCGUUGAAUCAAAAAAUGCUACAAAUAGCUCUGAACUGAGAAGGUGUUUGAUGCAUUUCCCAGCAGUGCUAAAUUCUCCUCAGGCUGAUGCACAAAGAACUGUAAGGUUUUGUAUUACCGAAUGUCUGUUAUCCUUUAAAAAUAUUCCUCUUAUAGAGAUCACGGUAUCAGAACAUUCGUGCUGGACUAAUUUCUGUAGGCCUGAUGUGACGUGACAGAUUGCAUAUUGCUCAUAGGCUGGAAAUUAAGUCAUUAACUAACUCAGAACUUCAGAAGUCCACAAAAUGAGGUUCAAAGAAAAUUGCUCCCACCAAGUAGCAGGGAUGGGUAAGGGAGGCUUUGUCGAGAGAAGGGAUGCUGGAAAAGAUGUCCCCAUGGAGUCCCUUCUCCUCAUUAUAACCUAUCCACGUACUGACUUGCAGGCCUUUUUCACGUAGCUCGUAGUUGUCAAUGUGAAAACAAGAUGAUAAUUACUUCACUCAGAUGCCGAAUGAGCAACAAAAUACAACUUCUAGAAAUGGAAGAGACACUGCAAAGUAGUUAAAUUGACAGAGAGAGGUCAAGUGCAAAGAGGUCCUGGUCGUUUCUGUUACACGAUUAAUAUGAGGGAGUGUGUAAGAGAUACACAAAAGAAAUAUCUCAUUGGACAUUAAGCCACCCAGAGCUGGGGAACAACGAUAGGAGCUCUGCAGUGAGGACAUGUAUGCGUUCUGUGCAAGAAAUUACAAUUGGAUUCUCUGCUAUGCUUUAAGCUAGGUGUAAGAAAUACCUGCUCACUGGAACUCAGCAGGCUUUCACAGGCAUAAAAUCGGUGCUGCGGG